Molecule: long non-coding RNA, 275 nt
Organism: Cyprinodon tularosa
Lineage: Eukaryota; Metazoa; Chordata; Actinopteri; Cyprinodontiformes; Cyprinodontidae
Exons: 2
Source: RefSeq, a predicted model, not a curated record
UUUAUUUUCCAAUUGAAGUAAUUGCUCUGCACAUUUGUGUGCAGGCUGUUUUUUUUUUUACAUAGUUGCAGAAUCUGCUGUUACAGCUGAGCGGUUCAUUGUAUGGACUGGACUAGACUCCACCAGAGAUGUUGAUGCAGAAUGUUCCCAAUGUGAAUGCCAUCCGGUUCCCUGGAGGGUGACGCUGUUCUUCUGGAGUUUCCGUAGACAAGUGUCUCUGAUGUGCGCACGGCCAUCAGACGAAAAUGUAACAAUGAGCAGUUCAGCCAAAAAAA